RNAcentral lists this ribosomal RNA (340 nucleotides) under uncultured Chloroflexota bacterium. RNAcentral's name for it is "bacterial SSU rRNA". It matches the Rfam family "Bacterial small subunit ribosomal RNA", at positions 1030 to 1382 of the family's 1533-position model. The record is from RNAcentral. Lineage: Bacteria; Bacillati; Chloroflexota.
AUGCACAGGUGUUGCACGGCCGUCGUCAGCUCGUGCCGUGAGGUGUUGGGUUAAGUCCCGCAACGAGCGCAACCCUGUCGCCAGUUGUAUUUUUCUGGCGAGACUGCCGAGAAAACCUCGGAGGAAGGAGGGGACGGAUGUCAGGUCAGCGUGGCCCUUACGCCUGGGGCUACACACACGCUACAAUGGGCAGUACAACGGGUCGCGAAGCCGCGAGGUGGAGCUAAUCCCAUCAAAGCUGUCCUCAGUUCGGAUUGCAGGCUGAAACCCGCCUGCAUGAAGCCGGAGUUGCUAGUAACCGCAGGUCAGCAUUACUGCGGUGAAUACGUUCCCGGGCCUU